Venturia canescens is the source of this 151-nucleotide long non-coding RNA. RefSeq lists it as uncharacterized. The transcript has 3 exons. The record is from RefSeq and is a predicted model, not a curated record. NCBI's taxonomy places the organism in Eukaryota, Metazoa, Arthropoda, Insecta, Hymenoptera, Ichneumonidae.
AAUUCCGGCGGCGCAAGGAAAAGAAACGAAAAAGCCUCGUUACCAAUUGCCAGCCCUGGAGGGUGCAUUGAACUCGCUGAUUAUUGAAGGGCACGCUUUACGGCGCAAAGGCCGCGAAAAUCACGAAGCCCCGGGAAGGAAUGAACCUAUG